UAGGGAAUCUUCGGCAAUGGACGAAAGUCUGACCGAGCAACGCCGCGGGAGUGAAGAAGGUUUUCGGAUCGUAAAACUCUGUUGUUAGAGAAGAACAAGGACGUUAGUAACUGAACGUCCCCUGACGGUAUCUAAUCAGAAAGCCACGGCUAACUACGUGCCAGCAGCCGCGGUAAUACGUAGGUGGCAAGCGUUGUCCGGAUUUAUUGGGCGUAAAGCGAGCGCAGGCGGUUUCUUAAGUCUGAUGUGAAAGCCCCCGGCUCAACCGGGGAGGGUCAUUGGAAACUGGGAGACUUGAGUGCAGAAGAGGAGAGUGGAAUUCCAUGUGUAGCGGUGAAAUGCGUAGAUAUAUGGAGGAACACCAGUGGCGAAGGCGGCUCUCUGGUCUGUAACUGACGCUGAGGCUCGAAAGCGUGGGGAGCAAACAGG
This 429-nucleotide ribosomal RNA is filed under the name Gemmatimonadota bacterium. Its description in RNAcentral is "Gemmatimonadetes bacterium partial 16S ribosomal RNA". It matches the Rfam family "Bacterial small subunit ribosomal RNA", at positions 355 to 776 of the family's 1533-position model. Lineage: Bacteria; Pseudomonadati; Gemmatimonadota. The record is from RNAcentral.